Molecule: ribosomal RNA, 788 nt
Filed under: Salmonella enterica subsp. enterica serovar Newport
Lineage: Bacteria; Pseudomonadati; Pseudomonadota; Gammaproteobacteria; Enterobacterales; Enterobacteriaceae
Description: partial 23S ribosomal RNA
Rfam family: Bacterial large subunit ribosomal RNA
Source: RNAcentral
UGUUUCGGCUAGGGGGCCAUCCCGGCUUACCAACCCGAUGCAAACUGCGAAUACCGGAGAAUGUUAUCACGGGAGACACACGGCGGGUGCUAACGUCCGUCGUGAAGAGGGAAACAACCCAGACCGCCAGCUAAGGUCCCAAAGUCAUGGUUAAGUGGGAAACGAUGUGGGAAGGCCCAGACAGCCAGGAUGUUGGCUUAGAAGCAGCCAUCAUUUAAAGAAAGCGUAAUAGCUCACUGGUCGAGUCGGCCUGCGCGGAAGAUGUAACGGGGCUAAACCAUGCACCGAAGCUGCGGCAGCGAACGUAUCACUUAAAGCGAUUCAGCGGGUUACGAUUGACGGAGCGAAGCGACGUCAAAGCGUAUACAAAGUCGAGUCGGUUUAAGGAUACGUUCGUUGGGUAGGGGAGCGUUCUGUAAGCCUGUGAAGGUGGCCUGUGAGGGUUGCUGGAGGUAUCAGAAGUGCGAAUGCUGACAUAAGUAACGAUAAAGCGGGUGAAAAGCCCGCUCGCCGGAAGACCAAGGGUUCCUGUCCAACGUUAAUCGGGGCAGGGUGAGUCGACCCCUAAGGCGAGGCCGAAAGGCGUAGUCGAUGGGAAACAGGUUAAUAUUCCUGUACUUGGUGUUACUGCGAAGGGGGGACGGAGAAGGCUAUGUUGGCCGGGCGACGGUUGUCCCGGUUUAAGCGUGUAGGCUGGUUUUCCAGGCAAAUCCGGAAAAUCAAGGCUGAGGCGUGAUGACGAGGCACUACGGUGCUGAAGCAACAAAUGCCCUGCUUCCAGGAAAAGC